UUUGUCCUACGGGGCGCAGCAGUGGGGAAUAUUGCACAAUGGGGGAAACCCUGAUGCAGCGACGCCGCGUGAGUGAAGAAGGUUUUCGGAUUGUAAACUGCUUUAGAUAGGGAAGAAAAAAAUGACAGUACCUAUAGAAUAAGCUCCGGCUAACUACGUGCCAGCAGCCGCGGUAAUACGUAGGGAGCGAGCGUUAUCCGGAUUUAUUGGGUGUAAAGGGUGCGUAGAUGGAUAAGCAAGUUGGUUGUGAAAUCCCUCGGCUUAACUGAGGAAUUGCAACCAAAACUGUAGAUCUUGAGUACUGG
RNAcentral lists this ribosomal RNA (305 nucleotides) under uncultured bacterium. Its description in RNAcentral is "bacterial SSU rRNA". It matches the Rfam family "Bacterial small subunit ribosomal RNA", at positions 333 to 652 of the family's 1533-position model. The record is from RNAcentral.